This 412-nucleotide unclassified non-coding RNA is filed under the name soil metagenome. RNAcentral's name for it is "partial contains 5.8S ribosomal RNA, internal transcribed spacer 2, and large subunit ribosomal RNA". The stretch from base 1 to 122 matches the Rfam family "5.8S ribosomal RNA", at positions 35 to 154 of the family's 154-position model. The record is from RNAcentral.
GAUGAAGAACGUAGCGAAAUGCGAUACUUGGUGUGAAUUGCAGAAUCCCGUGAACCAUCGAGUCUUUGAACGCAAGUUGCGCCCGAAGCCGUCAGGCCGAGGGCACGCCUGCCUGGGCGUCACACGCCGUUGCCCCCCCGCGCCCCGCACCCAACUCUUUGGGAGCGACCGCGGGGCGGGCUGAUGAUGGCCUCCCGUGCGCUCCGCCGCGCGGUUGGCCCAAAUACCGAGUCCCCGGCGACGUGCGCCACGACGAUCGGUGGUUGAGAGACCUCUGUCGCAAGUCGUGCGCGCCCGUCGCGUCACGCGGGCUCGCAUAGCGCCUCGCGCCGCACCCGGUGCGGAGCUUUCAACGCGACCCCAGGUCAGGCGGGGUUACCCGCUGAAUUUAAGCAUAUCAAUGAGCGGAGGA